RNA transcript from Haplochromis burtoni (Burton's mouthbrooder), 3030 nucleotides. It is a transcript of the gene named catechol O-methyltransferase-like, with no coding region annotated. NCBI's taxonomy places the organism in Eukaryota, Metazoa, Chordata, Actinopteri, Cichliformes, Cichlidae. The record is from RefSeq and is a predicted model, not a curated record. The transcript is spliced from 3 exons.
AGUAUAAACCCACCAUCAAAUUGCAUUAUUUAUCGCUAUUAGAAUUAUGUAUUUAUACUCCAGCCUACUUCUUUUCAAUGCUGCAAGAAAAUGAACAUUGUUUCUGAGAGUAAUCACAAACUGAUAUGAUUGAAAAAUAUCUCACUUUUAACCAGGCUUAAAGGGAGAACUCUGUUUAUGCCUGUCCUGUAACUGUUCAGUCACAAUUUCUACAUCCCACCUUUGGCUGACAGAGUUCAGUGCUACACUACAGUCAUUCAGGGUAAGGUAGCAUGUGUUUCUCAAAGAUAAAUAUCCAGUUACAUAGAUUGAUUCACCAUACACUAACCCGGCUUUUGAAAUUAAAUUAAGUUAAAAAAAAAGUCGCAGUCCUCUUUCUUAAGAAACAUAAUGACUAUCAGAAGUAAACAUUAUUUCAUUAUCAUUAUUUUGGCAAUGCAAACACAAAAAGUGCAUAUUUAUUUACUUAUGUAUGAUUUACACAUCAUACAUAUGAUGCAUGUGAUCAUAUGAUACGAUGUUUCAUUUUGAUAGCAUUAAUGGUUCAACAAUAUGUUGCCAAGUAUGUUUCAUUUCUUUCUAGAGCUGGUCAUCUCCAUGGUUACAGGCUUCCAUCCACGCUGAUAUGUUGUGUUUGCUCUUAUUUUGAUGGCACCGUGCUUUGCUUCCGGUUAUAAUCCAGCAGUUCUAGGUCAGCUUGAUUCCGCUGGACUGAUGGACUUGCACACUGCAGUAUGAUUAGCUCCAACGGCCAAAAAUACACAGAGCAGCGCCGCUUCACCGGCAGCCAACGAGGGCAGCAGCCCGCUGGGGAGCUCACACCCACUUUCAUUAUAUGGGGCAACUUAGAAAAGAGGAAGUGCACAGAUUUCGAGCAAAGGCGCCUGAAACUGAGGGCCAACAUUAAACUCCAGAUGCUCAUCCAUUAACAAAACUCUACAGGCUCUAUGAUAUAAUGUAUUCAUAGUUAUCAGUUUAAUUCUGUUACAGACUUCUGAGAAUUGUGUUAGUCUUUAAAAAAAAAAAAAAGAACAGUUUUGUAAAUAUAAGCAAACGAAAGUUCAGCAAUGUUUCCACGCUUUUGCAACUGUUGGGGUAUUCUCUUUUCACCUAUUUUAUCUGUUUGUCAGAGUUUUCCUUAAGGCAGUUCUACUUCUGCCAUAUCAGUGUUUGAAAUGGAAGUUGUAACUGCUCAGUACCAGCUGUCCACCUGGAGCCAAAACAACCAGCAAUGAGUGAAAUACCCAUCGUGAAAUUAUUUAUUCGUCAAAUGGCAGAUUCCGCACAAAAACAUUUGGAGUCGCAUCCCAUGCCUUGUAUACUUUGAGACUUGUAAGUUCGACGACGACCCUUGAAACUUUUCAAAGCCCCACAGACUCUUUUUCCAAAUGAUGGCUGGCAUUCUUAACCUUCAUCUCUGCUGACCUCUUGUGGAAAAAAGCAGUGGUGCAGACAGAGAGGAGGAGGAGUUUCCCAGACAGCACCAUCGAUUGUAUGUUCUUUUUGUAGUUUAGGUGCACUCACCACGCCUGCUUCAUGGAUGCCACCAAACAGUGUUGUCUUUCGGACUUUAGUCAUACAGAGAGUCUGUAAGAGAUAAAAAAAAAAAAAAGUGAUCCGUUUAUGCUGACCACCUGCUUGACUUCCACAAGAGGCAAGAUGACCUGUGUUUGACAGGAUGGACUCUGAUCCUGGACGAGCAAUAUUGAAAUUUGGCGAGUACUGCUUUAUCCAUCCAUCCAUUCAUCAGUUUUCUAUCCGUUAUCCAGGAGGGUAAGCAGGGGUGCCAAGACCUUCCUGUCUUCGGCUUUCCCUGGGGGUAUUAUCCCCGAAUGGCUUUACAAACCAGGGAGCGUGUAUAAUACAUACAUAUAAAUACAAACGUACAUACUGUAUCCAGCAGCGUGUCUCUGUUUGUGUCCCAAGCCUGAAAAACCUGACCAGGGAUUGGGAGGCGUCCACAAGGUAUCCUAUACAGGUAGCCGAAGCAUCUCAACUGACUUAUUUACUCCGAGUUGAAUGAGCUCCUUACCUAAGAUCAUACAACCAGACACCCAGCAGCAGAAGAACCUCAUUUCUGCUGCUUAUCCUCACGGCCUGCUUUAAUGCAAGCAACCUGUGGGCAGGUUUGAAGUGGAACGGUCAAGGUGAGAUACUGGAUGACGUAGUGAAAAGUGUGAAAAGUGUCCGCCCUUUGUGGGUGCUGGAGCUUAGAAUGCACUGUGGCUACAGCUCUGGCCGUCUGCUUCGUCUGCUGCCCCAUGGAGGCGGACUGAUCACAGUGGUGCUGGACCCAGUCACAGCAGAUCUUGGAGAGGAAAUCAUCCUGGUGACUAGCUUCAAGCAAUCCCAGUUCCAGGUUUUUACACAGCUCAGCUGAGGCCAUCCCAACAUUAAAUUCUUUCCUUGAGUCUGAGGGUACCAGUGAUGGCAUAAAUCUGGUGCUAAUGGACCAUGAUUCCCAGCAGUACCUUUUAGAUCUGUUGGCCUUGGAGAGAGAGGAGCUCCUCUGCCCAUCUGGCUGCACUGUGUUGUUGAAUAGAGGAAUCAAAGAGCCGAUGAUCUCAGAGGAGUCCUGGAUCACACCAGAGGAAGAGUCGAUUCCUACUGCAUCAAAACAGAGCAUCCAUUUAUGAUGGAGAUUUUUUACAGGAAGGGAAGUACAAAGGAAGUCUGCAAUGGCAAAGUUUAGCUAAGAUGUGGGUGUAUUUUGGGGGUGUUAAAUAUUUCAUAAUCUCUAGUAUGACUCAUAAGGCAAAGAACUGCAAUUUUGAGAAAAUUUUAUUAUAAAUAAAAAAGUGAUAUUAAUCAUCCUAUAAGUCUGUCUGUUCUCAGUAUUUCAAAGUCUCCAAAGAUAUUACAGUUUCCUUUGUGGCAGAAAUAAGAAGCAUUUAUUAUAUACUUUAAAUAUGAUCUACUUUACUUAAGCUUAUUACUUCUCUGCAUUUAUUUCUUUUCCACAUCAUAGCCCCCAAAAGACAAAUGACUACCUCCUAUUGUUUAGCACAUCCCUAAAAAAUUCUUAAAUGG